CCUACGGGUGGCUGCAGUGGGGAAUAUUGGACAAUGGGCGCAAGCCUGAUCCAGCCAUGCCGCGUGGGUGAUGAAGGCCCUAGGGUUGUAAAGCCCUUUCGGCGGGGAAGAUAAUGACGGUACCCGCAGAAGAAGCCCCGGCUAACUUCGUGCCAGCAGCCGCGGUAAUACGAAGGGGGCUAGCGUUGCUCGGAAUCACUGGGCGUAAAGCGCACGUAGGCGGACUCUUAAGUCGGGGGUGAAAUCCUGGAGCUCAACGUCAGAACUGCCUUCGAUACUGGGAGGCUUUGAGUUCGGGAGAGGUGAGUGGAACUGCGAGUGUAGAGGUGAAAUUCGUAGAUAUUCGCAAGAACACCAGUGGCGAAGGCGGCUCACUGGCCCGAUACUGACGCUGAGGUGCGAAAGCGUGGGGAGCAAACAGGAUUAGAUACCCUAGUAGUC
RNAcentral lists this ribosomal RNA (441 nucleotides) under uncultured bacterium. Its description in RNAcentral is "partial 16S ribosomal RNA". It matches the Rfam family "Bacterial small subunit ribosomal RNA", at positions 338 to 795 of the family's 1533-position model. The record is from RNAcentral.